Chroicocephalus ridibundus (black-headed gull) is the source of this 2149-nucleotide long non-coding RNA. RefSeq lists it as uncharacterized. The transcript has 2 exons. The record is from RefSeq and is a predicted model, not a curated record. NCBI's taxonomy places the organism in Eukaryota, Metazoa, Chordata, Aves, Charadriiformes, Laridae.
CCGGCGCCGGCACUCGCGCCGCCUCAUUAGCAUUUAAAGGGGCCGCGCCGACAUGGAUCGAGCAGAGCGGGCGGCGCGGGGUGGAGAGGAGAGCGGCUUGCCCCCCGCGGCGGAGGACACGCGUGGGCCCGGCCCGGGCCGGCAUGGCGUGGGAGGCCAGCGGGUGGCGAUUUUCACGCCGGCACCCCUUCCUUGCGCCACACUCCCACCACGUCACUUUCCGUAAUCGCCGCUGCCUUGUGCCCACCCUUCCCGACGAGAUGGGUGCCUGAGCUGAAGCUUCAUGCAUGCGGCCUUCUCCGCUUUCUGAAGUUUUCCUUUGCUUCUGUGUAUACCUGAAGACUCAAAGAGCGUGGUGCUGUUUGGCUUUCGCUGUGUGCCCCCUCCAUAUCCCCACUUCUCAACAAUUCCUUGUUAGUUCUCACAACAAAAAUGAAGGUCUUCGGAGGGCAUCCCUUGCUGAACAUCAUCGUAGAAUCAUAGAAUGGUUAGAGUUGGAAGGGGCGUUUAAGAUCAUCUGGUUCCAACUCCCCUGCCAUGGGCAGGGACACCUCCCAUUAGACCAGGCUGCUCAAAGCCCCAUCCAGCCUGGCCUUGAACACUUCCAGGGAUGGGGCAUCCACAACUUCCCUGGCAACCUGUUCCAGUGUCUCACCACCCUCACAGUAAAGAAUUUCUUCCCGAUAUCCAACCUAAAUCUACCCUCUUUCAGUUUAAAACCAUUACCCCUCACCCUAUCAUUACACUCCCUGAUAAAGAGUCCCUCCCCAUCCUUCCUGUAGGCCCCCUUUAGGCACUGGAAGGCUGCUAUAAGGUCUCCUUGGAGCCUUCUCUUCUCCAGGCUGAACAACCCCAACUCUCUCAGCCUGUCCUCAUAGCAGAGGUGCUCCAGCCCUCUGAUGAUCUUCAUGGCCCUUUUCUGGACCUGUACCAACAGGUCCAUGUCCUUCUUGUGGUGAGAAUUCCAGAGCUGGACGCAGUACUCCAGGUGGGGUCUCACCAGAGCAGAGCAGAGAGGCAGAAUCACCUCCCUCAACCUGCUGGCCAUGCUUCUUUUGAUGCAGCCCAGGAUGUGGUUGGCUUUCUGGGCUGCGAGCACACAUUGCCUGGUCAUGUUGAGCUUCUCGUCCACCAGCACCCCCAAGUCCUUCUCCUCAGGGCUGAUCUCAGUCCAUUCUCCACCCAGCCUGCGGGGCUGUACCCAUCCCUCAGGUAGCAAUGACAACAUCAGCUCCAAAGCAGUCUCAGGUGAAGUGUUCACUGGCAAGGCACGCCUUAGGGGAUGGUUUAAGCUGCACGAGGUCUCACCGACUGAAACUCCUCAGGAGCCUUGAACCUGGGUUUGACAGAUGUCGGAGCCAAAAGCAAGAGAUGCUACAAUGUGGUGAUUUGGACCCUCCCACAACUGCAGACAGGCUAAGGCUUAGCUACUUGGGAGACUGAUAAUGAGCUGCUUUGGAAUUCAGACUGCUUUCAGAGCAUUCAGGGGUAUUUCCACCCACACAGGCAUCGCUGCUGCCAAUUCAGUUUCUUACACCAUUUUCUAAAUCCCGGAUGGAAAUUAACAGUCCUCGUCAUUGCAUCCCACUGUACGCAUAAGAAACAAAAAAAAAUAAUUUUUGUCCCGCAGUUUUUAAUCCUCCACUCUAUGUUAAUUUCAUUAUUUUAAGGUUGUGUCACUUUCUGUCCUUUUACAUGUUCCAAGUGCAUGAAAAUAUCUCUGAGGGUGCUCAUUUGAAUAAAUUUUGAGAGGAAGGUUUAUUACGUUAAGUCAAAUGUGUUAUCAAAAUUCAGGCACUUGAGAUACCAAAUUUCUUUUUUCUUGUUAAUUACUUUUUCUUCCUCCAGCUAAUUUUAGAGUUGUAUUGAAAAGCCCAUUCAACAAAAAACUGCAGUAUACAAGCUGUGGAAAUGUAUUGUGUUUUAUUCCAUUCCUUUGUAGAAAAUUGGCGAUGUUUUUUGUCUAUUGUUUUCUAUUAUUUUAAUAAUGACAAAAUGUAAGAAUUAUAGAGAAAGUAGUCUAAUUUUUCCUUUUCUUUCUGACAAUUGGUAAUACAUUUCCUUUGCUUCAGUAUUCAAUCUCUUUUCCAAAAAUUGUGUUGGAAGAAAUUAAUCCACCAACUUGGGUAAUAAAAAAAUUGUAACUGUU